AUGCAUGGGCUAGGCCCAUUAUGCUUAACAUUUCAGUCAAUAUACCUUCUUAACAUUAGGUUACAAGGUCAAGCGGCAAGGGAGCAGCAACGUCGUUGGAUUCCACCUCCGCCAGGCUCACAAAAGAUAAACGUGGAUGGUGCAUUAUCACGAAACAGACGAGUGGGAGUUGCAGCCGCAAUCUGCCGUGAUUCAAAUGGCAACUAUCUUGGCGCGUCAGCGGUGGUCCAUGGGGGCAUACGCGAUCCGAUGAUCCUGGAGACAUACGCGUGUCGGGAGGCUCUAGCGCUGGCGGAAGAUCUACACGAGCAGAAUAUCAUGGUGGCAUCGGAUUGCCAAGGUGUGGUGCAGGAUAUCAAUGAAGGGACAGCUGGCCCCAAUGCGGCUGUUAUACAUGAAAUAACGAACCGUAAAGAUAGUUUUACGUCUUGCGUUUUUGUUUUUGAGCGUAGGAUUUUUAAUUUCGAGGCUCAUAAUCUCGCUAAAUUUGCUUGUAACCUAGAUAUAGGUAGACAUGUAUGGUUGGGUACUCCUCAUGACCCAAAGCGUGUACCUAUGAACAUUGUCAUGAAUCAAUAA
Molecule: ribosomal RNA, 579 nt
Filed under: Triticum aestivum (bread wheat)
Lineage: Eukaryota; Viridiplantae; Streptophyta; Magnoliopsida; Poales; Poaceae
Description: partial small subunit ribosomal RNA
Source: RNAcentral